CCUACGGGUGGCAGCAGUGGGGAAUAUUGGGCAAUGGGCGCAAGCCUGACCCAGCAACGCCGCGUGAAGGAAGAAGGCUUUCGGGUUGUAAACUUCUUUUAUCAGGGACGAAGCAAGUGACGGUACCUGAUGAAUAAGCCACGGCUAACUACGUGCCAGCAGCCGCGGUAAUACGUAGGUGGCAAGCGUUAUCCGGAUUUACUGGGUGUAAAGGGCGUGUAGGCGGGAGUGCAAGUCAGAGGUGAAAACUAUGUGCGGAAACCAUAGCCUGCAUUUGAAACUGUACUUCUUGAGUGCUGGAGAGGCAAGCGGAAGUCCAUGGGAAGCAGUGAAAUGAGUAGAGAUACGGAAGAAGACCAGAGGCGAAGGAUGAUUACUG
This 379-nucleotide ribosomal RNA is filed under the name uncultured bacterium. Its description in RNAcentral is "partial 16S ribosomal RNA". It matches the Rfam family "Bacterial small subunit ribosomal RNA", at positions 338 to 731 of the family's 1533-position model. The record is from RNAcentral.